RNAcentral lists this long non-coding RNA (2288 nucleotides) under Homo sapiens (human). RNAcentral describes it as "HSALNT0320388". Lineage: Eukaryota; Metazoa; Chordata; Mammalia; Primates; Hominidae. The record is from RNAcentral.
CCUCUUUCACCCGAGAAGCCUUGCGUGCACUGUUAGCAAACUCACACAAGUGAAGAGGGACCUUUCUUUGCUACACAGCGUCCUCCGUGGCGAGCUGGAGGGAAGCGCUCUCAGCAGAGAGGGUCGCCCUCACCAAGAAGCCAAAGGGAAGAGGACAGAAUCUAUCUUGUAGGGACGCCCUUGGUCUUCAGAAGGAACACUUUUUCUGUUUCACAGAGAUCUGUGGAAUGUGUGGGUUCCCUGAAGAGGUGGACGGACCCCCGGGGUCGCGCGUUUUCUCAGCCCUGGGCCCGUAGCGGAGCUCGAUCCUUCCAGAGCUCAGGGCCAGAAAUGUUGCGAUUCCGAACACUUUGCCUUUCUUCUGAGAGGAGCCGCCCGGCAGACGCUCAUCAUUAAGAAGCAACGUAAUUAACAACGAAUGUUUCCCCUUGGCGCUAAUGCGAACACCCUGGGGAACUGCCAAGUCUGAUAUGUCCACCGCAUUACAAAUGGGAUUCUCUGGCAUCUGACCAACCCUCACAAUGGCUACUGGCCAUCUCAUGCCCAACAGGACAAUGCUUAUUUCCACCAGGAGAUGGCGCAUGCCUUUUUUUUUUUUUUUUUAAAUCCCCAGGAAGGUCUCAGUGCUGCAAAAGCUCCAUGACCAUUCUGCUUCUAAACUGACGGAGCAAACAUAUAUUUCCAGUGGUAAUGCUAGGAAAUACUUUGCUAAGGAUGUUACUUUGGUCCUUCAGCCAGUGGUCAGAGAACAGAAUGACCAUACUGCAACCACCCAUGGUGAACUGACUGGCACACCUACAAAAAUCUUAUCUUUGGGGUCCCCAUAGUACCCAGUGGAUUGCCUUGCACAUUGUAGGUGCUCAGUAUGUGUUUGCUAAAGACAUGACCCUGGAUAAAUCACUUCACCUCAAUUAGUCUGUUUCCCAAAUCUGAAAAUAAAAGCAGUGAAAUGGACAAGGUGACAGUUAAGGCCUUGAAUCAGAAGAGCCUCUGACAAUGUGACAAAUAGCUUGUAAGUAUCACAUAGCUCUUUCCUUUCUCUCUCCCCCAUAAAAUGAAACGUGGUGUUCCUGUUAGUAAUUUAGUUAGGAUCAGUUGGAAAUUUUUAAAAUGCAAUCCCAAAUUUGGAUAAAAUGUUCUGUUUUUAUUUAGUCUGGAAGCCACUAACUGCUGAGUCCCAGACUGUCAAUCCACAAAGAUUUCACUGAAAAUUUAAGAGAAAAUGAAAGCUACUCAGUCUUUCUCAUAGUAGUCUUUUAAGGAAAUAAAACAUGCAAGAAAAUACUGCAGUAACCCAGGAGAAAUGAAAAGCACAGACUGCACACUGGGACACGUGUUACAUGGCUGGCUCAAGGAGCUUCAGAAGCAGAGGCUCACGGACUGGGCCAAACCAGACAGUGCGCUCCUACUCAGACCUUUCCUGAUUUUCAGGAUUUGCGCCAACACCCACCUUAAUGCCUCAGAGAUGCUUGCUGAAUGGCUGACUUCUCUGAAAGGGAAAACAGCAGAAUCUGAGAGGGGAGAGUGGAGCGGAGUUCUUCCUCCCCUGUGCUAACAGGUAUGUGAUUCCUAUUAUUGUCUUUGGUGGGAAGGGAAGCAUGAGGCAGGCCCCUGGUCUACAGUGGAAGUGAAGCCUGAGGAUAGGCUAAGAAUUAGGGAAAUUAACAGGCUCCUAGGAGUCAGAAUGCUCAGCUUCUAUUCCCAGCACUGCUUAAAAUUUUCAGGGGAAAGUACUUUAUAAUCCUUGCAGCAUUUGGUGCCUUUAUUAGAAAAUCCUUUUAUGUGAGAUUUUGAGUUUCUUAUUUUCUCUCCUCACCAGGAUAAUGCACAGAAAGAGCUGAGGUGGGAGUCCGAGAGACAGGGGUCUGACAUGUAUAAUAUACUCUGCUGCACAGGAUUAUCAUGAGGGUUAAAUGAAAUAAUAAAUGUAGAUUACACUUAGCUCAGGACCUGCCACACACUUAGCUGAGGGCCAGGAAUUCAAUAACCAAUGACUAUCAAUGUCAAUCAUUCUAGCUAUUUUGUAGAUGCAAAGUCCAAUAGAAACAGAAAGGGUGCAAAGCUAAAACUUUUAAAAUACUCAGACCCAGACUCUAAUCCAUUAAAAAAAAAAAAGCAAAAAACAAAAAAGAUAAUCCCUAAUUUUUCUUAACCUUGCAUUUUUCCAUUGAGAGGUGGUGACUUCCUAAAAUGGAGGUAGACAGAUAGAUAGAGAAUCUGUAUAACAACAUACGUAAUCUAGAUACCUAUAUCUUUAUAAGGAAACCAGGUAAGGGACACUUGAGAAA